GUCAUGCCGACGGGAAUCAAUUUUGGGGAAGGGGGAUUUUUUUGAACCUAACUCUGAAAUGCACUUCUUCGUUUGGCAGGUUAGCGUCGAUUUUGAACGUUAUAAAAUGAUUGGGGGAAGGUAGCUCUUUCGGGAGUGUUAUAGCCCUUAAUUAAUGUGAUGUUUGGGAUCGAGGAUUGCAACGGAUACCUUUUUAGGCUAGCCGCCUGGCCUCUGAUUCGAUGUUGGGUUAUAGACAGCAUGCUGACUAUGAUCUGAUUAUUGAUCAAAAGGUUAGAGCGAGCAUAAA
This 289-nucleotide ribosomal RNA is filed under the name uncultured Glomeromycotina. RNAcentral's name for it is "partial large subunit ribosomal RNA". Lineage: Eukaryota; Fungi; Glomeromycota. The record is from RNAcentral.